This 405-nucleotide ribosomal RNA is filed under the name uncultured Gammaproteobacteria bacterium. RNAcentral describes it as "bacterial SSU rRNA". It matches the Rfam family "Bacterial small subunit ribosomal RNA", at positions 9 to 416 of the family's 1533-position model. Lineage: Bacteria; Pseudomonadati; Pseudomonadota; Gammaproteobacteria. The record is from RNAcentral.
GAGUUUGAUCAUGGCUCAGAGUGAACGCUGGCGGCAGGCCUAACACAUGCAAGUCGAGCGGCAGCGCGGGGGCAACCCUGGCGGCGAGCGGCGGACGGGUGAGUAACGCGUAGGAAUCUACCCAGUAGCGGGGGAUAGCCCGGGGAAACUCGGAUUAAUACCGCAUACGCCCUAAGGGGGAAAGCAGGGGAUCUUCGGACCUUGCACUAUUGGCAGAGCCUGCGUUGGAUUAGCUAGUUGGUAGGGUAAAGGCCUACCAAGGCAACGAUCCAUAACUGGUCUGAGAGGAUGAUCAGUCACACCGGAACUGAGACACGGUCCGGACUCCUACGGGAGGCAGCAGUGGGGAAUAUUGGACAAUGGGGGCAACCCUGAUCCAGCCAUGCCGCGUGUGUGAAGAAGGCC